Molecule: long non-coding RNA, 577 nt
Filed under: Fukomys damarensis (Damara mole-rat)
Lineage: Eukaryota; Metazoa; Chordata; Mammalia; Rodentia; Bathyergidae
Description: lncRNA (ENSFDAG00000026113.1)
Source: RNAcentral
AUGCCCAGAAGAUGAUGGUAAUUUUUUUUUUCUUUCUUUUUUGUUGCUGGGUAUCAAAGUCAAGUCCUUGAGUAUGCGAGGCAAGCGGCGGCACCACUGAGCUAAACCCGCGGCCCAGAUGAUGAUAAUCAUAUUCAAGAACUGCCAGAAGGUUUCGACAGGUGUAAUGAGGUCUCAGAACAGUUGUAAUGCAAGGCGGGGAGAUGGAAAUUAUCAUCAGAGGAAGAUAUCUUAAGCCAGGGGCCCCUAGCCUCCAGACCACAGAUCAAUAGGGGUUCACAGAAGGAGGUGAGUGGCAGGGGAAGCAAGGGAAGAUUAGUGUGUAUUUACAGCUCCUGGUACCUUCUGAGCUCUGCUUCCUGUCAGGUCAAGGGUGGCAUUAGAUUCUCAUAAAGUGCAUGAAUCCUACUGAGACUGGUGCAUAGGAGAGAUCUGGGUUGCACGAGCUCUUUAUGAGAAUCUAAUCCUGAAUCCAUCCCCCACCCCUUGGCCUUCCCACUCAGCCCCACCCACUCCACACAUCCCACCCCCACCCCUGGGGUUGUGAAAAAACCAUCCCCCAUGAAAUCAAUCCCUG